RNAcentral lists this ribosomal RNA (859 nucleotides) under uncultured bacterium. Its description in RNAcentral is "bacterial SSU rRNA". It matches the Rfam family "Bacterial small subunit ribosomal RNA", at positions 1 to 867 of the family's 1533-position model. The record is from RNAcentral.
GAAUUCGCCCUUAGAGUUUGAUCCUGGCUCAGGACGAACGCUGGCGGCGCGCCUAACACAUGCAAGUCGAACGAGCGAGAGAGAGCUUACUUUCUCGAGCGAGUGGCGAACGGGUGAGUAACGCGUGAGGAACCUGCCUCAAAGAGGGGGGACAACAGUUGGAAACGACUGCUAAUACCGCAUAAGCCCACGACCCGGCAUCGGGUAGAGGGAAAAGGAGCAAUCCGCUUUGAGAUGGCCUCGCGUCCGAUUAGCUAGUUGGUGAGGUAAUGGCCCACCAAGGCGACGAUCGGUAGCCGGACUGAGAGGUUGAACGGCCACAUUGGGACUGAGACACGGCCCAGACUCCUACGGGAGGCAGCAGUGGGGAAUAUUGCACAAUGGGGGAAACCCUGAUGCAGCGACGCCGCGUGGAGGAAGAAGGUCUUCGGAUUGUAAACUCCUGUUGUUGAGGAAGAUAAUGACGGUACUCAACAAGGAAGUGACGGCUAACUACGUGCCAGCAGCCGCGGUAAAACGUAGGUCACAAGCGUUGUCCGGAAUUACUGGGUGUAAAGGGAGCGCAGGCGGGAAGACAAGUUGGAAGUGAAAUCCAUGGGCUCAACCCAUGAACUGCUUUCAAAACUGUUUUUCUUGAGUAGUGCAGAGGUAGGCGGAAUUCCCGGUGUAGCGGUGGAAUGCGUAGAUAUCGGGAGGAACACCAGUGGCGAAGGCGGCCUACUGGGCACCAACUGACGCUGAGGCUCGAAAGUGUGGGUAGCAAACAGGAUUAGAUACCCUGGUAGUCCACACUGUAAACGAUGAUUACUAGGGGUUGGAGGAUUGACCCCUUCAGUGCCGCAGUUAACACAAUAAGUAA